GCCCAUGCCCAGCCCUAGUCCCUCACUCACUCACUCUCUCUGUCCCUUCCUCUUCUCUCUCUCAUCUGAGAUCCAGAUCAUGAGGUAGAUCAAAAUCCAAAUCCCAGGGCCAACCGCCACUCCUUCGUCGGAACUUCCAAGCCUCUCAUCUCAGUCCUUGCAUUUCUUUUUCUGUCUUUCGACAAUGAUGAUGAGAUCAUGUUCUGGAUGACGGUAAGAUCAAUGGUUCACGAUGACGAUCUGGAAACCGUACCGAAGAUGUGUUAAAUGUAGAAAUCUGGAUGGUAAUGGGUUUGCGAUUUGUAUGAUGAUCUCGAAGCUGUGUUUUACCAGAUCUUUUCUUGCGAUUCACCAAGAUCAGAGGGUUUAUCAAAACCCCAACGAAUACAUGGGCAGGGCAGGGCAGGGCAGGGCAGAGAAGAAGGUAAUGAAGCACGGAGACAGAGGGUUUAUCGAUCCUUCAACUAUUUGUUUACAAUGGUUCUUGUAUUGCAGUCUUGGAGGUCACAGUGGUUAUUAUGCUUAGUAGAAUCAACGUUGAGUUGAGAAAUGAAAAUGUUGACAGUGAAUGGAUCUAACCCCACAAUGGCAGUUGCGGCAACUACUGCGGGUGAUCAGCAAUUGCAACAGACUGCAAAUGUAUCUGAGAAAGAGAAAGAGAAUGAAACAUCAAUAACAAGUAACGACAAAUGACAAUGACAUUGGCAAUGGAAGUGGCAAAGAAAGCCCCUAUUUGCAUGAGGAAAGUGAUUUACCAUAAAGGUAUAUUACUUUUUGGAUCAACAGAAAUGCAAACCAUAAUAGCAAUCCUCAUGUUUUUAAUUAGAUUUUCCUUAAUUAUUAGUUUUUUGCAACCCCCUGGCUUUUUUGGGUUCACUCUACUUUGGGGUUUGAAAUAAUCUCUUUUUAAGUUUGCAUUUAUUGUUUUGAAAAUGUUGUAUUUGAAUGUAGCUUGGAACACAACCUCCCUGAUUGUCCAUUUGCAUCUCCUAAAGCUGCUGUGGACUUCUUUGAUGAUAAGUUAGCCAUAAUUGGAUGAUUUAGUUUAGUUUUACAGGGAUUUUUUGUGGCUCCUUUUCUUCAAUCUCACUACUAUUGUGACUCUUAAAUGUAUUAAGAAGUUCUCCUUAUUCGUUCGUUAUUUAAAUCCUUUUAUUUUCAUUUGAGCUUUCAAUCUCUUACUCAAUUCAUUGUUAUUUACAUGGCUUAUUCCAAAAAUCUGUUUUCCAUAACUUAUGUUGA
This is a non-coding RNA of Camellia sinensis, 1242 nucleotides long. The record is from RefSeq and is a predicted model, not a curated record. NCBI's taxonomy places the organism in Eukaryota, Viridiplantae, Streptophyta, Magnoliopsida, Ericales, Theaceae.